CGUCCUACGGGGGGCAGCAGUGGGGAAUAUUGGGCAAUGGGCGCAAGCCUGACCCAGCAACGCCGCGUGAAGGAAGAAGGCUUUCGGGUUGUAAACUUCUUUUCUCAGGGACGAAGAAAGUGACGGUACCUGAGGAAUAAGCCACGGCUAACUACGUGCCAGCAGCCGCGGUAAUACGUAGGUGGCAAGCGUUAUCCGGAUUUACUGGGUGUAAAGGGCGUGUAGGCGGGACUGCAAGUCAGAUGUGAAAACCACGGGCUCAACCUGUGGCCUGCGUUUGAAAAUGUAGUUCUU
RNAcentral lists this ribosomal RNA (294 nucleotides) under uncultured bacterium. RNAcentral's name for it is "partial 16S ribosomal RNA". It matches the Rfam family "Bacterial small subunit ribosomal RNA", at positions 335 to 643 of the family's 1533-position model. The record is from RNAcentral.